GGCUGACACCAGACUUGCCCACCCCUUAUUCUGCACCAUUUUUAGAGGUGCCAAAAGACUUUCUUAGCGAAAGUCACUCAGAGUAACCCUGUCAGGCUUUCGCCUAUUGCAGAGGUUUCGCGCCUGCUGCGCCCCAUAGGGCCUGGGCCCUUGUCUCAGUGCCCAUCUCCGGGCUCCUCCUCUCAGAGCCCGUACCGGUUACAGGUUUGGUGGGCCAUUACCUCACCAACAGCCUGAUCGGCCGCAGUCCAAUCCAGAGGCCAUAUAGAUUUUAGUCAGGAACCAUUCCAGAAAUCCUCACUUAUCGCGGUUUAGACUCAGUUUCCCGAGGUUAUCCACGUCCUCUGGGCAUGUUGACUACGUGUUACUGAGCCGUGCGCCACGUAUUGCUACGUUAACUCGCAUGGCUAAAUCUC
RNAcentral lists this ribosomal RNA (416 nucleotides) under uncultured crenarchaeote FRD0. Its description in RNAcentral is "partial 16S small subunit ribosomal RNA". The record is from RNAcentral. Lineage: Archaea; Thermoproteati; Thermoproteota.